CCGGGGGGAGGCGGCGGCGGCGGUGGCGGGAGUGGAUCUGGCCAGAAGGGAUCUGGCCGGGAGUCAGCGGGGUUGGAUGAGAUUCACAGACUGUUGGACUAAGUUGGAAGGGAUCCACAAGGAUCCUCGAGUAAAACACAUUUACUCUUAAGUAAAUGUCCCGUAGAGGGAUAGCACCCACCACCUUAGUGUUACUAGCACCAUGUUCUAACCAACCGCAACUACAGAAAAGUAACAAAUUUAACUACUAAUACUGAUGUGUUCUGUCAAUGAAUCCACACAUCACCGUGAGGAUGUCACAGAAUCCCAGCUGUAUGCUGCUCUGCUUCAGGAUUUUGAAGCCCAAAUUGCCUGGUCUGGUGGAAAUACUUCUGAUGGAGAUAUGUUAGUGCAAGCUCUGCCAUUUCACAAGCAGGAUCAAAAGUACGAUCAGGAUGCAUCUGGUUCAAAUGCGUGAAACUGAUACGGUGUGUGGAAUUUCAGGCUGCCCUGAAAUGGACCAAGGUAAAAAUGAAUUAUGUAGCAUUGGAGAUGAAAAGAAUGAAAACAAAGAAAACCUUGCAAAAAGUUACUGUCUUUACCUUAAAAUAAGAGUCCUUGCUGUUGUGACAUGAGCUCAAGCAUAAUCCUCGUGCAUCUCACUCCUGCGAAAGGAACACCUUGUUUGGAGAAGUAGCAGAUUACUUUCAAUUUGAGGAACCCUGCAGUGCUGACUUCCAUAUUCCAAGAGAAAGGACAGAUCCUGUGACAUACAGACCCUUUAGAGUUAUGGGCUUCAGCUCCAUCACAACAUCCAUACAUGUGUUGGUGGUGUCUUGACUGAACCACGCUGGUGUACACUGAAUUGGAGAGUCAGGAUCAAGUAUUCAAAACCAGACAUCAGUUGAGUGAACAUCACAAGCAAAUCCAUCAUGAAGAAGCACCAAACCCACAAAUGAAAGAGAGGAAGAGAAGAAUGAAGUCUGAAGAUAAUCCUGUGUGUUUCAACGCAAAAGCAACUUGAAAGUAGAAUUCAAGCUAAUUUAAAUGCAGUAUCUACAUACCUACAGUAGGUAUGAUCUGUAUUAUAGCAAAACUUUCUGUUUUGUUUCUUAACUGCAGAAUAUUUUGUUAUCUGGCAUGUUUAUUUGUUUGCUGAUUUACUUACAUAUUUUUGUAAGAAAGUUGCUCUUAGAUAGCCUGAACAAAAAUAAAAAUAGCUACCUCCUACUUGGUU
Pseudopodoces humilis (Tibetan ground-tit) is the source of this 1216-nucleotide long non-coding RNA. RefSeq lists it as uncharacterized. The record is from RefSeq and is a predicted model, not a curated record. NCBI's taxonomy places the organism in Eukaryota, Metazoa, Chordata, Aves, Passeriformes, Paridae.